RNAcentral lists this long non-coding RNA (798 nucleotides) under Homo sapiens (human). RNAcentral describes it as "non-protein coding lnc-COPRS-3:1". Lineage: Eukaryota; Metazoa; Chordata; Mammalia; Primates; Hominidae. The record is from RNAcentral.
AGUGAAUGGCACUGACAUCCUGCCUCCGCCUGACUGAGCCCUGAGUCACAGGCCCCUGCCGGAGGCCCUGCUGCUCUGGGCAGACCAGGCCUGCACCACUGACAAGGCCUAGGAGGAAGCAUUAGGGCAGUCAAGAGUCCCUGGGGAGGCUGACUGAGGCUUAAAGAAACGGGGCUGGCAUUUCCUCCCGGCAAGGCUGGCCAGGGCCCUGCACUCAGGCUGGCUGGUGAAGAAGCGUGCUGGGGGGCUGCGUGCAUGCAGGCACGGUGUCAAGGUGGCCGGCCCCAGGAAACACAGCAGCCUCUACACUCCCUUCCAACAGUGCAAUGGAAGGGGGGCGUUUCCCAAAAGCCUCAUCUGUGCUCAUGGCACCCUCAUUCUGCCUUUGCUCAUUUAAAAGCCAAAACCAAACCCACACAAGAUAGGCACACCCACAGGAGCUCAGAAAAUUGGUGGGAAGGCUGGAAAAACAGGCCUGGGCAAGGGCAGGAACCAAGACAGCUCCUGAGGGCCAAAAGGCGGGAAGGGCAAGCGCAUAGAUUGGGGGUGGGGAGCAGGAAUGCGUGGCAGGAGGCAGCCGGGAGACUCUGACUGUCCUUGUCCUUCUGCCCAUGAAUUAGAGGAGUGGACAAUCUUACUGGCUAGGUGGGUCACAUGUCCACCCUAUGGCAGGGCAGGGCAGAGGGAGCCUGGUAGACUCUGUCCAGCAGAGAAGAGGCAGUUCCUCCCCAAAAGAAACUAAAGGCCUGUGAGGAAAGGGAGUUGGGUGGUCCAGGCUCAGCAGAUGCCCACCAUCCA